AUUGAACGCUGGCGGCAGGCCUAACACAUGCAAGUCGAGCGGCAGCACGGGUACUUGUACCUGCUGGCGAGCGGCGGACGGGUGAGUAAUGCCUAGGAAUCUGCCUGGUAGUGGGGGAUAACGUCCGGAAACGGGCGCUAAUACCGCAUACGGCCGACGGGAGAAAGUGGGGGAUCUUCUGACCUCACGCUAUUAGAUGAGCCUAGGUCGGAUUAGCUAGUUGUUGAGGUAAUGGCUCACCAAGGCGACGAUCCGUAACUGGUCUGAGAGGAUGAUCAGUCACACUGGACCUGAGACACGGUCCAGACUCCUACGGGAGGCAGCAGUGGGGAAUAUUGGACAAUGGGCGAAAGCCUGAUCCAGCCAUGCCGCGUGUGUGAAGAAGGUCUUCGGAUUGUAAAGCACUUUAAGUUGGGAGGAAGGGCAGUUACCUAAUACGUGAUUGUUUUGACGUUACCGACAGAAUAAGCACCGGCUAACUCUGUGCCAGCCGCCGCGGUAA
Molecule: ribosomal RNA, 502 nt
Filed under: uncultured bacterium
Lineage: Bacteria
Description: partial 16S ribosomal RNA
Rfam family: Bacterial small subunit ribosomal RNA
Source: RNAcentral